This 677-nucleotide ribosomal RNA is filed under the name Escherichia coli. RNAcentral describes it as "partial 23S ribosomal RNA". It matches the Rfam family "Bacterial large subunit ribosomal RNA", at positions 2266 to 2925 of the family's 2925-position model. Lineage: Bacteria; Pseudomonadati; Pseudomonadota; Gammaproteobacteria; Enterobacterales; Enterobacteriaceae. The record is from RNAcentral.
UAGUUUGACUGGGGCGGUCUCCUCCUAAAGAGUAACGGAGGAGCACGAAGGUUGGCUAAUCCUGGUCGGACAUCAGGAGGUUAGUGCAAUGGCAUAAGCCAGCUUGACUGCGAGCGUGACGGCGCGAGCAGGUGCGAAAGCAGGUCAUAGUGAUCCGGUGGUUCUGAAUGGAAGGGCCAUCGCUCAACGGAUAAAAGGUACUCCGGGGAUAACAGGCUGAUACCGCCCAAGAGUUCAUAUCGACGGCGGUGUUUGGCACCUCGAUGUCGGCUCAUCACAUCCUGGGGCUGAAGUAGGUCCCAAGGGUAUGGCUGUUCGCCAUUUAAAGUGGUACGCGAGCUGGGUUUAGAACGUCGUGAGACAGUUCGGUCCCUAUCUGCCGUGGGCGCUGGAGAACUGAGGGGGGCUGCUCCUAGUACGAGAGGACCGGAGUGGACGCAUCACUGGUGUUCGGGUUGUCAUGCCAAUGGCACUGCCCGGUAGCUAAAUGCGGAAGAGAUAAGUGCUGAAAGCAUCUAAGCACGAAACUUGCCCCGAGAUGAGUUCUCCCUGAGACUUAGAGUCUCCUGAAGGAACGUUGAAGACGACGACGUUGAUAGGCCGGGUGUGUAAGCGCAGCGAUGCGUUGAGCUAACCGGUACUAAUGAACCGUGAGGCUUAACCUUACAACGCCGAAG